RNAcentral lists this ribosomal RNA (571 nucleotides) under Rhizoplaca aff. porterii 'nevadensis'. Its description in RNAcentral is "eukaryotic LSU rRNA". The stretch from base 225 to 378 matches the Rfam family "5.8S ribosomal RNA". The record is from RNAcentral. Lineage: Eukaryota; Fungi; Ascomycota; Lecanoromycetes; Lecanorales; Lecanoraceae.
GAACCGCGUGAAGGAUCAUUACUGAGAGGGGUUUUCGGACCCCGGGGGCCCCGGCCCCCAUCUCUUCACCCUAUGUUUACGUACCUUCGUUGCUUUGGCGGGUCUUGGGGCUCGCCCCUACCGGCUACCGGCUACGGGCCUAGUGCCCCGGUCGGUCCGUGCCCGCCAGAGGCCCAUCAAAUUCUGUUCAUCAGUGACAGUCCGAGCAAAAACACAAUAGUAAAAACUUUCAACAACGGAUCUCUUGGUUCUGGCAUCGAUGAAGAACGCAGCGAAAUGCGAUAAGUAAUGUGAAUUGCAGAAUUCAGUGAAUCAUCGAAUCUUUGAACGCACAUUGCGCCCCUCGGUAUUCCGGGGGGCAUGCCUGUUCGAGCGUCAUUGCACCCCUCAAGCUCAGCUUGGUAUUGGGUCUUCGCCUCCUCGGCGGGCCCGAAAGUCAGUGGCGGUCCGGGGCGACUUCGAGCGUAGUAAAUCUUCUCCCGCUUUGGAAGCUCGCGCCGCGGCCGGCCAUCAACGCCCAAAUCUUUCAAUGAUUGACCUCGGAUCAGGUAGGGAUACCCGCUGAACUUAA